AAGAUUUCAUCAGUUCAUUACUUCACUGAGAGCUAUGCUAGCUCUCUCAUUUCUUACACUCUUUUCUACAGUGGCUUUCCACACAGAUUUGAAGCAAAA
This is a non-coding RNA of Tinamus guttatus (white-throated tinamou), 99 nucleotides long. Lineage: Eukaryota; Metazoa; Chordata; Aves; Tinamiformes; Tinamidae. The record is from RefSeq and is a predicted model, not a curated record.